GUGCCAGCCGCCGCGGUAAUACCGGCAGCCCGAGUGAUGGCCGAUCUUAUUGGGCCUAAAGCGUCCGUAGCUGGCCGCGCAAGUCCAUCGGGAAAUCCACCCGCCCAACGGGUGGCCGUCCGGUGGAAACUGCACGGCUUGGGACCGGAAGGCGCGACGGGUAUGUCCAGGGUAGGAGUGAAAUCCCGUAAUCCUGGACGGACCGCCGAUGGGGAAACCACCUCAGGAGAACGGAUCCGACAGUGAGGGACGAAAGCCAGGGUCUCCAACCGGAUUAGAAACCCUUGUAGUCC
Molecule: ribosomal RNA, 293 nt
Filed under: uncultured bacterium
Lineage: Bacteria
Description: partial 16S ribosomal RNA
Rfam family: Archaeal small subunit ribosomal RNA
Source: RNAcentral